AGAAACAUAGCUUAAGGUUCCGUCCAUUUCUUCUUAUUUUUUUCGGUCAAAAUACGUGAACACCCGGCCCAAACCCAAGGCGAAGAUGAACAGCCCUCACGAUGGUCCUCCCCAAUUCAAGGCUUAAGCAGGGUUAUACCUAUACGGCGUGCGUUUCUCUCCGCCCUCUACAUUAUUUUCCUCUCUUUACCGUCUCAGCCAUUUCUGUAUCCCUAGGAACAGAGGUGGAAGCUUUCAGUUCUAAACGGCGUGUCAAGGUUUGAAAAUUCGUUUUCAAUUUCUAAAACUACUGUUUAUUUUAUGUUACAUCUUGAUGCUGGAUUUGCUUCUUGUAAAUAGAAAGAAAAGAUAGUUGUUUUUUUAAUAGAAUAAAUAGAUUUUUUACUUGUUCUUCCCAAUUCUAUUUAUUAAAAUCUACUCAAGUUUUAGCUUCAUUUUUCUGUCAAUGUUGUUGCUCAACUUCCUUUUACUGGGUUGGCUUGUAGGACUUGAGUUUUUUAUUAAGUUCUCUCUGUCAAUGGGCGGCUUGGAAGGUUUAAAUCAUGGUUGGUAAGGCAUCGCCUAGGCGUCGAUUAGGCGUCCAAGAGGUUACUCAAGGACUAGGCGAGGAUACGCUUUAGUUGAACUUCGUAGUCGAACGCCUCGGCAGUCAAGUCGUCGCUUUUGGUCGCCUAGGCGACGACUCGAUCGACUUACUUUUACGGAUUACCCAGAACUUUGAGAGAGAGAAAAAGAUGAAGAGAGAAACUCUUAAUAUUAUACACGCAGACCUGUUCGGGAAUGACUUAUUUUAAAUGACUUAUAGGUUAUUUUAAAUUGUGACUCAUAAAUAAAAACAUUGGAUAUUAAUUUGACUUAUAAGUCAAAAUUAAGUUAAAACAAGUUAGGAAGAUGUUCGGCUUAUAAUGACAAUAAAUGUAAAAAUUAUUAAAAAGGACAUUAAUAAAAAGAUGGGCAAAAUAGAAGAGUGACAAAAUAAACAUUUUAUUUUGUCAAACUAACUUAUUUUAAAAUGACUUAUAAGUCAUUUUAAAAUAAGUUAUAAAUACUUAUUUUUUUGACUUAAAACUCAACUUAUAAGUAGAAAAUAAGUCAUUUCCGAACAGGUGAAUAGUAACAAAUGACUUAUAAGUUAGUUUGACCAACUUACAAGUCAUUCCUGAACAAGCUAUGUUGAUUUAUGGUUUGGCUUUUAUUUUAGUAUCAAUAAGACUUGGCAGACAGCUUUCUUGGACAGGAAAAUUGGACAUUUUCAUUUUCAUUUUCAUUUUCAUUUUUUUUUUGAUUGUGACUACCAAAAAAUGUAUAGUAUUUAUUCCAACAUGAAUUUUAACAAAAUACAGUGUUUUAGAUGUAUAACCUUGUUUUUGUAUAUGUAUCCAAAUUACACCUAAAACACUGUAUUUUGUAAAAAUUCCUGUUAGAAUAAAUACUAUAUAUUUUUUGGGAGUCGCAAUAAAAAAUAAAUAAAUGAAAAUGUCCAAUUUUUCUGUCCAAGAAAGCUGUCAGUAGAAGGACUCUUUUAGUAUGGUUGUAUACGUGUAUGUGUCAAUAUAAUUCAUUUAUUAGCCUUCGCUAAAGGUUUACAUCUGAUUAUAAAAAGUACUGUCCAUGUAGGUCCAAAUGUCUCCCACUCAAGAUAUACUCCUCGUUUAGUGGUUUACCAAGACUAAUAUGUGAUCAUAUAAGUUGCUAAGUGUUAGCUCCAAGUUACAACUUUUAAUAAAAAUAUUUUAAAUUUUAGGUUUAUUUAUUAUCUGGCAUUUAAAUUCCCACUUAAUAUACCUAGUAAUUAUAUUUUAUAUUCAAAUAUAUCCUAAAAGUUUGACAUUCUUUCACUACACACUCUUGAACUUUCGUUCUUUAUAGUUUUGGCCCCUUUUAUAGUAAAAAUAAAAACAAAAAAUGACUAGUAUAUGUGUGUAUAUUUGUGUGUAUAUAUAUGUAUAUAUAUUAUAACUAUUAUUUCAAGUUUUAAUGCAUAUAAUUUUCCUAAGUUUAAUGUAUUUGACAAAUACAAUACAUAUAAAUUGUGCAUUGUUAACGACUUGUCGCCUUGUGGACGACUAGUUGGGCAUCUUAUGUGCUCCUGACUACCGCCUCGCCUUGACUUGUCGCCUUGACUACUAUGGUUUAAAAUCUUCUAUUUUAUUAUAUUUGUCAAUGUUGCUCACAACCUUUUUGAUAAUAUGCCAAUCUCGUCAUUAGGAUUUUGUAUUUCAUGAUGUUUAGGAUUUUCGUUCUGGUAUUUUAUACAUAUUUGAUCUGUUCAUAUGUCGUACUACAAUGGUUGUUGAUAUGUUUCAUAAAUGGUUUCCAUUGUCGUCCUGGUAGAAGUUCUCAUCUUGAUGAAUCAUAAAAUCUAUUGAGUAACUCUAAGAUGCCUAAUUCUUAACAUUAUUUGGUGUUUAUGAGGUGUGGUGUUUGGAUUAUGAGAAAGCUAGAGAAAAUGGGGAAAUGGGGAUAUGAACAGUAAGGGAGAAGGAAACGAUGAAGGAAGAGAAAAAGAGAAAGAAAAAAAGAAAGAAAGAAAUUCACUUAAUCUAUUACUACUAUAUAUAAGCAAGGUAAUCGGAGAUUUUAUCCAAAUUAAUCUAGUCAUUUUGGUUGGUCACCGAGUUGGUGCGAGUUAGUCACGUGUUCAAUAUCUCUAAUGGUAUAGUGUAUGUCAUUCAAAAUUAUACAAAAUUUUUCGUAUCCUUUGUAUUAUUUCAAAGAUGUACAUGCAUGUAUUAAAAAAUAUAUACAAUGAUUUUGAUAUACAUACAAGUUCAAUGUAUCACUAUCAUCUAUAUUAUACUCCCUCCAUUCCUAUUUAUUUGACAUUUUACUGUGUUGCACACUUAUUAAGGAAUCAUUUAUUACUCUAAUUUUAUCAUUAAGAUUGAUAUGUAUUACCACAAAUAUUCUUGCAUAUAUUAAGGAAAUAUGUAUAAAGUUGCUUAGACAAAUAAGAGAGAAAUUAUGAGAGAAGAUACUUACGGGCAAAAAGGAAGAAUUGUAAUUAAUGCUUCUUAGAAAUUUUGCUAACGUCAAAUAUGUAGAAAAAUUUUGAACUGCCUAAAACAUCUAAUAAAUGAGAAUGGGGAGAAUAUUAUUUAUAAUCAAAUUAUAAUACCAAAUAUCACACACCAUAAUUAUUUUAAAUUGUAUUCUCCCAUAUUAAUCCGUGACUAGCAUGGACUAUCAGUCUAGUGUCACAAAAACACACAUCUUGAUAUCUAGAGACUAGAUACAAAUACAUUACGCUACCCUAACAAAACAAGGAAACAAUACAAAUCCCACAAAGAAACAGAAUAACAGACAAGCACCACCACUACAAAGCCCAACCUCCUAGCAAAAAACUUUAUUCACCUAGAUACCAGUUUUUCACAAAACAAUAACCAUGCUAUAUACCUCAAGACUUUUUGGUCACUGGUCUUUAUUUCCCAACACCAGUUGGCAUCAGGAUAUUGUUCCUAAUGCGUUGUAAAUUUGCAAGAACAUGACUAAUAUUUAUCCUGUCUGUUGGAGAUUCGGCAGUGCAACUUCAUAUAUUGCAAUCAAGCAUUCCUGAAUCUUUUGGAUACUCUCCUUUUCUCCUUCUUGCGGUAGAAGUGCUUGAUCCGAAAUUUCCACUACUCUGUCAGGGUAACCUAUCUUAACAUAGUUUUGGAGGUUCAUAUCACCGUUACACAUGUUAUCUGUGGGCCUUUUUCCAGUAGACAUCUCCAACAAGAGGACACCAUAGCUGUAAAUGUCACCUGCUGUUGAUACCUCAGUUCCCAUACCAGACUCUACACAAUUCAUUAAUGUGAAUCAUUAUAAGAAAUCCCAAUAAAAUGGCAUUGACAAAAUUUGUCAAAUAAUUAAGGUCAAGAAGAACGACUAUGAUCAUAAAAUAUGUGCAAGUAUGUAGAAUAAAUCUCGGCAUACUAACAACUUGCAAACAAACUAACAAUUAGUGGAGGACAACUAGAUUUUUCAUCACAAGAUGUGGGCCAUCCAGUAGUAUUAUUACAGUGGAAAAUCUAGUUGUUCCCUACUAAUUGUUAGUUUUUUUUUGUAAAUGGUUAGUAAGCCAAGAUUUAUUCAGGCAACAACACGAAUGCUAUAAUGCGACUAAACAUUCGAUAGGGUACACAAUUCAAAUAGCACAUUAGAUUUACACUAAAUCUUAUAUCACCGUCUAACUUUUAAAAAUAAACUUAAAAAGCCUAAACUACUAGAUCAAAUAACUUUCAACAACAAUAAGAUUAAAUAACUUUUAAAGAGUAAACAUAACAAACCAUGUAAUUGUGAGAUAAAGUGAAACGGUUAGGUAUUAAUUGCAUCCAAAAGUGUUAUGAGAUGAAAGCAUAUGUACAGUCAAAUGUAAAAUGUAGAAUAAAAUACCCAAAAUACCUUUUCUGAUCUUUACUUGUUUGAUAUGAAUAGAUUUAGUGUUUUUUUUGUUAGUGUAUUUGGUGUGUUCGGAAAAUCAAAGGUACUCUAAAGUCUUGUUUGUCGAAAAAUAGUUUAUUUCAAGCGCAAGUAAUUAAAUUCACCUAUGUAAACAUUGCAAAUGCCACUCUAUGCCUGAGUUUGGGAUGGAAAAGAAAAGAAUGAAAACUUAAUUUUCAUGUUACUGAGUUUAUAAAGUAAAAAAAAAAACUUAAAUUUUACAUUUAAAUUACUAAGUUGUCCUUAUAUUAAUUUUAUUAUGUUUAUAAUCUAGAAGGUAUAAUAAAGAUUAUAAAAGAUGAUCUUAUGUUAUUUAAUUUAUCGUCCAAAUCCGUUCAUUUUUGGAUGAAAAAAUUUGGCAAAAAAAAGGUUAUAUUUUUCGUCCAUUUCUUUUCUUUUCAUUUUCGUCAAAAUACGCAAACAAACAGCCCAAACCCAAGGCGAAAAUGAACAGCCCUCACGAUUGUCCUCCAAUUCCAGGCUUAGGCAGGGUUAUGCGGCGUACGUUUCUCUUCCGCCUUCUAUGUUAUCUUCCUCUCUUUAACAUCCCAACUAUUUUUGUAUCCCCGAGACCAGAGGUGGAAGCUUUUAGUUCUAAACGGCGUGUCAUGGUUUGAAAAUUCGUUUUCAAUUUCUAAAACUACUGUUUAAUUUAUGUUACAUCUUGAUGCUGGAUUUGCUUCUCUUGUAAAUAGAAAGUAUAUAUAGUUGUUUUUUAAUAGAAUAAAUAGAUUUUUUACUUGUUCUUCCCAUUUCUAUUUAUAAAAAUCUACUCAAGUUUUAGCUUCAUUUUUCUGUCAAUGUUGUUGUUCAUCUUCCUUUUGCUUGGUUGACUUGUAGGACUUUAAGUUUUUUUAUUAAGUUCUCUCUGUCAAUGGCCGACUUGGAAGGUUUAAAUCAUGGUUGGUAAGGCAUCGUCUUGGUUGACUAGGCGUCCAAGCGGUUACUCAAGGACUAGGCUAGGAUAUGCUUUAGUUGAACUUCGUAGUCAAGUGCCUAGACAGUCAAGUAGUCGCUUUUGGUCGCCUAGGCGACGACUUAGACAAUUUCCUGUUGCUUUCCGACCAAGUGUUUUACGGAUAACCCAUAACUCUAAGAGAAAGAAAGAGAUGAAGAGAGAAACUCUUACUAUGAUACACGAAAUAUGUUGAUUUAUGUUUGGCUUUUAUUUGAGUAUGGCUGUAUGUGUCAGUAUGAUCCAUUUAUUACCCAAACAAGCUUUCGCUAAAGGUUUACAACCUUCGAGGUUUGUAUUGAGUUGCUCAGAUUUGAGUUGGUUGAGAUUCGUUUAGCUACCGAGUCUAGCACAUAUAUAGAUCCAUGUCUUCCACUCAAGUAAUUCAUCGAACUUUAAAUUUUGCUCAUAUUUGAAUUGUAUCUAUUUAAAAUCAAGCACAAAUAAAAUUUUUAAUCGAAUGAGUACGAAUCAAGUUCGAACCACUUGGUUCAUUUUACAGCCUUGCAUGUAGGUCCAUGUCUCCCACUCAAGAUAUACUCCUGGUUUAGUGGUUUAACAAGACUAAUACAUAUGUGAUCAUAUAAGUUGCCACGUGUUAGCUCCAAGUUACAAAUUUAAAUUAAAUAUUUUAAAUUUCAUGUUUAUUUAAUCUCUAAGCCGACAUUUAAAUUCCCACUUAAGUUGACCUAAUAAUUAUCUUUUAUAUUCAAAUAUAUCCUAAAAGUUUGAUAUUCUUUAACUACACAUCCUUGAACUUUUUGUUCUUUUGCAGUUUUCGCCCUUUUUAUAGUAAAGAUAAAAUUGACUUUUAUGUGUGUGUGUAUAUAUAUAUAUAUAUAUAUAUAUAUAUAUAUAUACAUAGAUAUUAUAAAUUGUGCAUUGUUAACGACUUGUUACCUUGUAGAUGACUAUUCAGGUGCCUUAUCACCUAAGCACUUUAGUUCCUGACUACCGUCUUGCCUUAACAAUUAUGGUUUAAAUAUUCUAUUUAAUUAUCUUUGUCAAUGUUGCUCACAACCUGUUUGAUAAUACGCCAAUGUCGCCAUUAGGAUUUUGAAUUUCAUGAUGUUUAGGAUUUUUCGUUCUGAUAUUUUAUACAUAUUUGAUCUGUUCAUAUAUCGUAAUACAAUGGUUGUUGAUAUGUUCCAUUUAGUGAUAUAAAAUGAAAUAUAGUAAAAAUAAAAAUAAAAAUUGACUUGUAUAUGUGUGUGUGUGUGUGUGUGUAUAUAUAUAUAUAUAUAUUAUACCUAUUAUUUCAAGUUUUAAUGCAUAUAAUUUUCCUAAAUUUAAUGUAUUUGAGAAGUACAAUACAUAUAAAAUUAUACAUAUAUAAAUUGUGCAUUGUUAACGAUUUGUCGCCUUGUGGACGACUAGUCCGCGCCUAAGCGCUUAAGCUCCAGCUACCGCCUCGCCUUGACUUGUCGUCUUGACAACUAUGGUUUAAAUCUUCUAUGUAAUUAUCUUUGUCAAAUUUGCUCACAACCUGUUUGAUAAUAUGCCAAUCUCGUCAUUAGGAUUUUGUAUUUCAUGAUGUUUAGGAUUUUCGUUCUGUUAUUUUAUACAUAUUUGAUCUGUUCAUAUAUCGUACUACAAUGGUUGUUGAUAUGUUUCUUAAAUGGUUCCCAUUGCCGUCUAGGUAGAAGUUCUCAUCUUGAUGAAUCAUAAAAUCUAUUGAGUAACUCUAAGAUGCCCAAUUCUUAACAUCAUUUGGUGUUUAUGAGGUGUGGUGUUUGGAUUAUGAGAAAGUUAGAGAAAAUGGGGAAAUAGGGGAUAUGAACAGUAAGGGAGAAGGAGCUAGACGAUGAAGGAAGAGAAAAAGAAAGAUGAAUAUUUUGUUUGUAUAAAAGAGCAUACCAAAUUUAGCUUGUAUAUUUUUAACGGAGUUAAGACAGGAAGUGGGAAGCCAGGAAGUGGGAAGCGGGAAGCGUUGUUGCACUUAGCCUCACAAUUAUAGGUGGGUUAUGUGUUACUUAUAAAAGUUAGGUGGUGGUAUGAGAUUUAGUGUAUGUUAUUAGAUGAAGAAAAUGAAUGUGCAUGUGCUUGCAUAAGUUCAAUUGCUCACGAGUAGAAUCCAUUGUAUUUAUGACAGUCAUGGAAUUGUGAGCGAAAUGCCUAACCACUUUUUAAGCUGCAUAAGUAUGAUCAGAUUGAUCUAGGAAACUAGUAAUUGAAUUUUAGAAAAAGUCCAAUGUUCUUAAGUUGAUGCUUUAUGCUUAGGCUUAACCAAAUGGAAGCACCCACAUGAUUUAGAAAGGGUAGUGUACAAAAACGUAGUAAUUACCUGGUGGAGUAUAACCAAUAGAUCCUUUCACCCCAAUGGAGCUUGUUUGCUGUGAAGAAAACUUGUUUGCGUUUCCUAGAUCUAUUCUUGCCAACCCAAAAUCACCAACAUGGCCAAUCGUUUCUCCGUCAAGAAGAAUAUUGCUUGGUUUGAUGUCACAGUGCACAAUUGGGGUAGGACAAUGAUUUUGAAGAUACUCAAUCGCACUGGCAAUGUCAAUAGCAAGAUUCAACCUUUGUAUGACGUCUAACUGCCUAGGUCCUUGAAAUUGUUUCCCUGAUAGUCAACCCCUGAACAUGAAGUUAGCACCUUGACAAGAUUCCGAUGUCUGAUAUUCCUCAAAGCCUCACAUUCAGUUGAAAAACUUUUUGAACUCUUUGCCGCUCAAGAUUGAGUACUUUUACUGCAAUAACUCUUCCGCUUUCGAGGACUCCCUUAUACACCGAACCAAAACUACUAGCACCAAUCAAAUUUGUUGUAGAAAAGCCGUCUGUUGCCUUAAGAAGGUGAUGAUAAGAAAUUCGCAAGAGCGAAUACUCUUUUGAACUCAGAAGUGAAUGUUUUCUAUUCUUUCGAAUGAUACAAAAAUAUAAAGAACACAACACCAAUGUCAAUCCUAAAAAUCCAAAAACCACAGGGAGUACAAUCUUUAAGGCCGGAGUUGAUCUCUUUUUCUUAAGCGCUUUAAAAUUGCAUAUAGGAAGAUAUAAUGCAGUCACACCCCCACAAAGCUUGUAGUUUCCGUUCGCAAACACUACACUUGUGUUCUUAAAAUGCCUUUUGUUGGUAAGGAACCUUCAAAAUCAUUGAAAGAAAGAUUCAAGUCUUGCAAGUCAAAUUCCCCCAAAAAGUCUAGAAUUUGUCCACAUAAAUUGUUGUGAGAGAGAUCAAUGAAUUGAAUGUCGUGCAACAAACUCAACUCUGAUGGAAUAGUCCCUUGAAAAAAAUUCCUUUCCAUAUGCAAAACUUCCAUACUCACGCAACUACUAAGAGAGGUAGGAAUAUUGCCAUAUUACAUGUUAGAAACAUCCAAUUCAUUUAGAUGCUUCAAAUUUCCAACUUCAGUAUGAAGCAAAUUAACCGGUAGUUGGUUAUGAGAUAAUACUAAAAAUAAAGAUAACGAAGAGAGACCGAAAAGUACUUGCGGUGGUAUUUCGCCAGUAAGGUUGUUUUGAGAAAGAUCCAGUGCUAGCAACAUUGAGAGAUUUCCCAAAGUUGAUGGAAUGCUGCCUUGGAGAUUAUAUAUUUCCUCCUAGGGAUAGUUUGGUUAGAAGAGUUAGAUUUCCAAGAGAGGAUGGGAUUAUUCCUGAGAACUAGUUUGAGGAUAAAUCCAAAAAUUGUAGCUUUUGAAGCUUCCCAAUACCUGGAAAGGUGUUACCUGUAAAUUGGUUAUCUGACAUUUCCAAGUAGUUCAAGUUGAACAAAUUCUACAUGUCAUUUGGAAUACUACCAGAUACCUUGUUUUCUUCUAAGAACAAUUUGGAAAGUCUAAUGGAGAGAUGGGUAAUAAAUUCAGGUAAUACCCCUCCAAAAUUAUUAUUAGCAAUAUAGACAAUGCUUAAAUUGGUUGCAUUGGUCAGAGAAGAGAUGAAGCUCAAGUCACCAUCCGCGUAUCCUCCACUCCCAAGAUGGUUCCUCGCAAUGCUGAAGAGUGAAAGCUGAUGUAGCUUUCCAAUAUCGGGCACUUUUCCAGUGAGGCAGGCAUUUAUGGCAGCAAGAGUCACUAGAUUCGACAGAUUGGACAUGGAAACAGGAAGUGAUCCGGUAAAAUUGUUUCUGCUGAUGCGAAGUAGCUCAAGAUUUGGCAUUGUGUUACCCAUAUCGGAGGGAAGACUAUCUCUGAUUCGGUUAUAAGCCAUAUAAAAAUGCCGAAUAAAGACAGGUUAAAGACCUGGGAAGGGAUGGCACCUGAAAACCUGUUAUUUUCCAGUACCAGAACUUCCAACCUUUUUAGCUGUCCUAAAGUGUUGGGAAUACUGUCGUCAAGAAAAUUGUUCCUACAAGUUUCACAAGAGACGAUAAGUUCCCAAAGGAAAGAGGGAUACCACCUGUUAGUCUGUUGUGUGCCAUUUAAGUUACUUGGAGCUCUCACAGGGAUCUGAACACGGCUGGAAUAGUACCUGCUAUCUCAUUGUAAGAAACAUCGAAGUUAACAAGAUUUGAACAAUGAGAUAAGUUGGAGGGAAUAACACCGCUGAUUGAAUUAUCAAACCACCUCAAGAUUUGUAGUCUUUUUAAACGUCCGAGUUCAGGGGGGAUUUCAGACAUCAGGCUAUUGUUGUGGAGGCGUAGGGUCCUAAGAAAGCUCAAGCGCGCCUUGCCAUUGACAAAAGUGGAUGGACUCAUUCCAUGUGCUAAAAGCAUUUAAAGGAUCAGUAAGUAUUUUGGCCUUGAAGUUUAGCAGUGCUAUCUUGUCUGUUUUAUUCCCAUGAUGAACAGCCAAAGCCAAAGCCAAAGCCAAGAAGAAAGUAAAAGCAUUACUAAUGUAAGCCAAAAGUUUCAUUGGAUCUUAGCACGGAGUAUUUGUGACCGUGUCUGGUUAGAAAGCUGAGAAACUGCAGAAGGGAAAAACAAGUUAAUACCAAAGCUUGAUUGAAGAACCUUGCCUGUUCGGGAACGACUUAUUUUAAAGUUAGUUAUAAGUUUAAAUAUAAGUUAUUUUAAGUUCUGAAUUAUAACUAAAAGCGUUUGGCAUCAAUUUGACUUAUAAGUCAGUAAUGAAGUUAAAAUAAGUUAUGAUUUAUGAAGGUAUUUGGCUCGUAAUAGUUAGAAUUUGAGCCAAAAUUAAAGUGUGUUUAAUUAAUUAUUUAAAGUGAAUUCACAUAUCAAUGUGUUCUACUCUACGAGUAGAUUAAAUUAAGUAUUUGGAAGCUCAAAUUUAUGAAGUAAUGAAUGAGAUAUUAACUCUCAAAGAUUACCCUUGAAAAUGAUAAAUGAUAAUAAAUACACGUGGGAAGCCAAGUCUCACAUUGGUUAAAAACUAAAAGUUUAAUAUGUUUAUAUUAUAAGGAAAUUGCUCUUAGGUUUGGGUCCCAACCCCACUUUUUUGGAAGGGAGAAGACUUAGCCAAGGUUUGGUUCGAAUCCACAUGCGCGUCGCCGAUCGGCUUGGCCUGACUCGAGGGUCUGGGUUCUUGUAUAUAAUUUUUUGGACAAAAUUAAUUUAAAUUUAAUUUUAUUUUAGUUCUAUUAUCAAAACUGUGUUCUUUUGAUAAAUAUUAUUUAUUAUCAAUACUCUGUCGUUUUGGGAAGCGGUAUCUGCCGAACGGACACGUUUUUGGGAAAGACUAUCUGCUUGAACGGACGCCCUAAAACUUCGUCGUUUUUGUUUGAACGGACGUGCCUUUUCUGCUAAAGACUAAGACUACGUCGUUUUUGUUCUAAUAAGACUAAAACUACGUCGUUUAGUAGGUCGGAUGGACCUUUCUGUUAAGCCUUAAAACUACGUCGUUUUGGCUAAAUAGUACAUUUUCAAGGGGUUAAUGUCCCUUCUGAAGGGUCACUAAUCCCUCCUAUAAAUAGAUAGGAGGGGGCAGCCAUUUUAUUCAUUCAAUUCAGAAGCAUUCUAGUCAUAUAGUCUUUCAUUAUUCAUAGUUUAUUUGAGAGAGAUUUUCAGAGCAUUUUUCUUUGGCUCGUAGAAUAUACUAAUUGGGGUGCUACUUUAGUAUAUGUUGUCAUUGUAUCAUGGGAGACAAAUGUUAUCAAUUCUGAGCACCAUACGGAGGACAUAAUUGUCUUAAGGACAUAGUACCAAGUACUAUCAUUUGACAAAUUUAUUUCUGCAGUUUUGAGAUGAGUUAAAUAUAUAUAUAUAUAUAUAUAUAUAUAUAUAUAUAUAUAUAUAUAUAUAUAUAUAUAUAGAGCCCCGUUCAAGAGCAUUAUGCUUAAAUAACAUUACACCCUUAAAUGACAUGACUAUAAAAGCCUGCUGUGUUAUUUUUUUAUCUUCUCUCUUCACUUUGUUUGUAUGCCAAAACCAAAAAGGCUUCUCUCUCCUCACUCGAUUUUGUAAGACGAGCUUCAGACUUCAAAAAACCUUCUCCUCAAAAUUGAAAUCGAAUGAAACCCUAGAAAGAAAUCAAGUCUUCACAAAAUUGAGCGGUAUUUGUCCAGAUCUCGAAUAUCUUCACAAAACCAAGUUUUAUUUGUCCAUAUCUCGAAUUGGAGAAGAAAUCGUGCCCUAGAAUCUGAACACGGAAGAAAUCGAAAGUCGGAAGUCUUCACAAAUCGGUAAGCCCUUUUUUCACAAACCGUGCCUUCUCGUUCUAUAUUCUUCCUUAUUUGUACGAAUGAUAUGAAAUUAAAACAGAGCACAAUACUCCCACUAAAACAAAGCACAAUACUCCCCCCUCGAGACAGGUUUCCUGGAAUGACUAGUGAGCAUGAAAAAACUAGUAUUUUAUACAAAUUAGUUGACUCUUAUAUGUAUGUAUAAUUGAUUUUUGAGCAUACACUGGUCGCUUGUUUUAUUUGUUUAAUUAAUUAAUAAUACAAAUGUAUUAGCAUUCAUCCUGGUGUCCAGUACAGUUGUGUGGGAGACUUUACAUAUAUGGUAGAAGAGAAAGAAGAAUCAAAUUAGCUAAGCUGACGAUUAAUGGAACGAUGAAUAAACAGCAGAAUAACAAAUUUAUGAGUGCUAUAAAAUUUUGUCAGAAAUCUUAUAGCAACAAGGCAACAAAAAGUGGUUUACAACGUUUUUAAUAACAAAAAAUGGUUUUUUGUUUGCAAAUAAUAAUGGUUUAACUCUCCUUAUUUUAGUCCGAAACUAUGAAUGUGUUUUAUUUUGUUAUCACUACAGGGUCGAAAUUUAGAUAAUGAUAAUACUUUGUAUAAUUUAAUUGUGAUGUCCUGUAACAGCAGAAUAACGAUAUUAGUGUUUUUAUUCGGUUUGUGAAAUUUGCUAAUAAAUAGCAUAAUAAACCGUGACUUCUCUUUCUAUAUGAAAUUAAAACAGAGCACAAUAAUCUUGCGUCAAGGUGUAAUGCAUGCUUGUGUGAUUUCUUCUCUAUUUGUUGAAGUAAAUGAUAAGAGUUAACUCAGACUUUGAUUUUCAUAUUAUACCAACAAUAAUAAUAUUGGUGAUCAUAAUUCUUAGUAAUGUUUGUGUUUUAACAUAUUUGAAUAUCCCAGCCACUGUUCAAAUUCUGUUUUGGAAGUGAUUUCAGAAUUAUAGGUACUGAAAUGUUUGUUUUUAUUGAAGGGCAAUAAUUUGAACUUUAUGCAUUACUGGUGAUAAGAAAGAUGAGAAAGGAUUUAGUAUUUUGAAAAUUUUGAUUAAUAUGGUUUGAAAAUUGCCUUGUUUUCUUCUUCAUGUGGAUUUCUGCGUAUCUUGAUGACUUUGAAUGCAAGAGAGAUCAGUGUUUGAUAGAUUGAAGAUCAGUGAUGGUCUUAUUUGUAAUGUAUGUUCUGAAAAAAAAAUUCUUUUUUGACAGUCCCAUGGUUGUGGGUACUUCAUGUGGUAUGAUCCUCCAAUGCAACCAAGAGCCAUUCAAGUGAUACCUGGUCUGUUGAGGAGGUUGAGGGCUAUGGAAAAUGAAGCUCAAAUUUUUUGACGCAAACAAAGGAUUUACUUGAUAAUCAUAUGGUUUCUUUGAUUUUGCUACUUUGGAAUUUCUUUGGAACCAUCUCUGUGCAAGAAGAUGCCUAAACAGGAAAAAAAUUGUGAUUAGAAUUUGGGAGAUGGAGCAAAUAGGAUGUGUGAAGUUCUUUUUUAAAUGUAAUGAAUUGAUUGUAAUGAAGCUUUGUUGUACUCUGUUUUUAAAACUUAGUUUAGACUGAGUCUGUAUGUUAUUUGGAUUUACAAGGAAUUACUAGAUGUUCCUCUAUGGAAGUUUUCUGAAUUACGGAAUUCUUUGGCUUGAAAACAUUAAUUAGAUAACAUGGCAAGAGGCAGGGGAGCCAAGGUGGUGUCUUAAGUGCAAUUAGUCAAAAUCAAUCCAAACUGGAUGCUUUCAGC
RNAcentral lists this long non-coding RNA (13616 nucleotides) under Panax ginseng (ginseng). RNAcentral describes it as "long non-coding RNA (PGIN_LNC013053)". Lineage: Eukaryota; Viridiplantae; Streptophyta; Magnoliopsida; Apiales; Araliaceae. The record is from RNAcentral.